RNAcentral lists this non-coding RNA (821 nucleotides) under Pan troglodytes (chimpanzee). The record is from RNAcentral. Lineage: Eukaryota; Metazoa; Chordata; Mammalia; Primates; Hominidae.
AUCCCACCGAGGCCACCAUAGACCAGCCAGCCCUCAGCGUACAUGCCAGCUAAUUACAGAUGCAGGAGCAAACCCCUGGCCCAUACAUCAAUUUUAAUGUCAUUGAAUACAGAGAACAAAUCUCAUUCAUUUUGGUAUCGGCUCAAGUCAACAAACAUUUAAAAAUCAUUUACUGCAUCUGAUUUUGGGUAUGUUGAAUUGGUGACGUCUGAGUUGCUUCUGGUCUAUCCUGAUAGAAACAUACAGUAAACAGAGAAAAAAAAGGGUCUCAGGUGAGAUGAUGUAUGGGAAUGCUCAGCAUACAGAAUGAAUGGAUAAGAGGCCUGAAAACAUAAUCCUGUAAACAACCAUAUUGAAAGAGAAGACAGAAGACAUCAAACAGGAUUUUGGAAGCAUUGCCUUCUACAGAAUCCACAGUAGUCCGAAGUUCUUCUACGGUUUUUGUCAAACUUUGAUUUUCCAUCUCUAGCUUCAAUAAUCUACUUGAUGUCAACUCAUUCACCUCAUGGCCCAGGGAUUUCUGGGGUGCUAUAAUAUUGAAAAAUACACCAUUGUAUUUACUCUUUACUGUUUUUACUAUGUUUACUCUUUACUAUUUAAAAAGUUGAGUGUAUAUGCAUUGCAUCAUCUGAUCCUUAACUUUAUUAAAAAUUCAAUGAGGUUAUAUAAGAUAAACAAGAUAAAAGAAGUAAAUCUUUUUUUUCCUUUUCUUUUUUUCUUUUUUUUAAAGAGACGGGGUCUCUCUCUGUCACCCAGGCUGGAGUGCAGUGAUGUGCUCCUAGCUCACUGCAGCCUCAAACGCCUGGUCUGAAGGGAUCCUC